Molecule: long non-coding RNA, 1204 nt
Organism: Manis javanica (Malayan pangolin)
Lineage: Eukaryota; Metazoa; Chordata; Mammalia; Pholidota; Manidae
Source: RefSeq, a predicted model, not a curated record
UGUUGGUCUUCCCAAAGGGCUGAUGAAACAUGCAGGGGAUUUGACAUCUGUGAGGAAGACACAGUGAAACCUUCACAGCAUUUCAGCUGAAUGAGAAUUGGAGGAAGAAUAGGAUGUUUGGUGGACAACUGAGGUCUGACAUAAUCUGCCUGCCAAAGCGGUGCAUCUUGGGGCAGCCUGCCUUUGACCCCUACAACUGCAGGAGCAACUACAUAUUUAUAAUCAGAAAUUCUCGGCCUCCUUAGUCCCUGAGACACAACAAACAAAGAACAAACUACUGAUACACAACAACUUGGAGAAGCCCCACAGGAAGUAACAUAGUAAUAGAGAUGAGGAUAGAGUGGUGUUUGCCAGGCUUAGGAGUAGGAGGGAGGAGAUGGUUGUGGCUAUACAGUGGUGACAGGAGGAAGCCUUAUGGUGAUGGGUACAGUUGAGUAUCAUGAUUGUGGUGGUGAUUAUCAAAGCCUCCAUGUGCAAUAUAAUAGCAUAGGGACACACACAUACACACACACAAAUGUGUGCAUGUGUAACAUGCUGGCAAGGAGGCAGGAAACUGGAUCACUCAUACACUGCAGAUGGGAAUAUAAAAUAUUACAGCCAUUCAGGAAAAAAGCCCAGCAAUUCCUGUCAAAAUUAAAAAUGGACUUACCAUACAACCCAACCAUCUAUUGUUGGACAUUUAUCCCAAUGUCUUAUUUCCACAUAAGAACUUGUGCAUGAAUGUUCAUAGCAACGUUAUUCCUAAUCAUCCAAACUGUAAAAUAUCCAAAUUUCCUUUAAUUGGGUGAAUAGUUAAACAAACUGUGGUGUGUCCACAGUAUAGAGUACUAGGAAAAAUAUUUGCUGCUCAUCUAUAGAUAAAGAACUUACCUUCCUAACUUAUAGAGUUCCUAUAAAUCAAUAAGAAAAAGACAAACAAUUCUAUGAAAAAAAGGAGUAACAAAUAGACAAGUGUCAGAAAAGGAAAUAUACAUGGCUUUUGAACAUAUGAAAAGGUGCUUCAUGACACUCAUAAUACAAGAAAUGUGAGUCAAAACUACAGAGUGAUACCACUUUUGAUUUAUCACAAUGAGAAAGAUGAAAAGCCUUGAUAAAACCCUAUUUGGUAAGAGUAUGGAGAAGCACUAUUGUGCAUUGUUGGUGGGAGAGUGAAUUGGUACAAUCUCUUCAAAAUUAUUUUAGCAAUUUUGUCCAAACUACAGAU